RNAcentral lists this ribosomal RNA (478 nucleotides) under uncultured bacterium. Its description in RNAcentral is "partial 16S ribosomal RNA". It matches the Rfam family "Bacterial small subunit ribosomal RNA", at positions 28 to 507 of the family's 1533-position model. The record is from RNAcentral.
GAUGAACGCUAGCGGCAGGCCUAACACAUGCAAGUCGAGGGAGAAGCCCUUUCGGGGGCAGAAACCGGCGCACGGGUGCGUAACGCGUAUGCAACCUACCUUUCACAGGGGGAUAGCCCGAAGAAAUUUGGAUUAAUACCCCAUAAUAUUAUUGGAUGGCAUCAUUUGAUAAUUAAAACUGCGGUGGUGAGAGAUGGGCAUGCGUCCUAUUAGCUAGUUGGAGUGGUAACGGCACCCCAAGGCUACGAUAGGUAGGGGUCCUGAGAGGGAGAUCCCCCACACUGGUACUGAGACAGGGACCAGACUCCUACGGGAGGCAGCAGUGAGGAAUAUUGGUCAAUGGUCGGAAGACUGAACCAGCCAUGCCGCGUGCAGGAAGAAUGCCUUAUGGGUUGUAAACUGCUUUUAUAUGGGAAGAAUAAGGCGUACGUGUACGUUGAUGACGGUACCAUAUGAAUAAGCAUCGGCUAACUCCGUG